RNAcentral lists this ribosomal RNA (253 nucleotides) under uncultured bacterium. Its description in RNAcentral is "partial 16S ribosomal RNA". It matches the Rfam family "Bacterial small subunit ribosomal RNA", at positions 524 to 776 of the family's 1533-position model. The record is from RNAcentral.
UACAGAGGAGCCAAGCGUUGUCCGGAUUUACUGGGCGUAAAGAGCGCGUAGGCGGCUCGUUAAGUGAGAAGUGAAAGCUGUGGGCUCAACCCACAAACCGCUUUUCAUACUGGCGAGCUGGAGUGAUGCAGAGGUGGAUAGAAUUCCCGGUGUAGCGGUGAAAUGCGUUGAUAUCGGGAGGAAUACCCGUGGCGAAGGCGGUCCACUGGGCAUCAACUGACGCUGAGGCGCGAAAGCGUGGGUAGCAAACAGG